GGUCUUUCGCGGAUAGAAGUCUUAGAUGGGAAUGUUGCUAGGCACGAGUGCAAUGUGGCUUUCGAUGGUGGCUGAUGGACAGUUCUGUGCCAAAGGGAUGACAAGGGCUGCCCAGGUAAGUUACCGAAGUUCCCUGCCAGAGGAAGUUAGGUUGAAAGUCCACUCGACGUGCCACAAUGAUGACAUUUUAUUUGCUACUCUUGACUGUGAGGAUGACGAGAAUUAUUACCACCAUUUUCCCAACUGAGGCACACAAAGUGGUGACUUACAGAAGCUAAAGAUGUGCCUAAGUUGACAUGAAAUGAAACUGUCUUCGCAGGUCCUAAAGCACAAGUAUCCCACUCGGGCCGCGGGCAGACAGGCACUGAGAGGAACCCACUGGAAGCUGAAAUGGUGGACUUGAGUUUUGGAUGUGUCUGGACCAGCUUUAUUUUUUUCUGCAGUUGGAGACAUGUUUUCACCUGCGGAUGGCAUGCUUGCGGUGCAGAUUUUUGAGGCAUUUAAAGGUGUGAAGAGUUGGGUUGUCGACAAGGUGGCCUGGAAUGAAGGAUUUUAAGCAAAGGCAGACCUGUUAACCUUGAAGAUUUCUAGGCAUUUCUGGUGGCGGUCAUGCGCCGACUGACCAGUUGAAAGGCAGCUGCAUGGAUGCUCAUGAGUUAGAAGAUCAAAUAACUGAAUUUUAAUAAACUUUUAUAAACCAUCUGAUCAAGUUUGCUUAUUUCAACUUAA
Long non-coding RNA from Pteronotus mesoamericanus, 729 nucleotides. RefSeq lists it as uncharacterized. The transcript has 11 exons. The record is from RefSeq and is a predicted model, not a curated record. NCBI's taxonomy places the organism in Eukaryota, Metazoa, Chordata, Mammalia, Chiroptera, Mormoopidae.